This 234-nucleotide long non-coding RNA is filed under the name Elaeis guineensis (African oil palm). RNAcentral describes it as "long non-coding RNA (EGUI_LNC005628)". Lineage: Eukaryota; Viridiplantae; Streptophyta; Magnoliopsida; Arecales; Arecaceae. The record is from RNAcentral.
AGCCCACUUCUUCAUCUUCUUAGCAGCCUUCUCAAGGUAUGCCCGUGCAAUCUCCGUAUUGCGAUGCCACUCCUUGGCCAAAUGAUAUGCAGAUAGGCUAUUUUCUGUAUACCCCACAACUACUGUAUGCGGAGUGGAGGGUUGCUGACCAGUGAUGAUUUCGAAGGGGCUCUUGCCCGAUGCAGAGCUCCGUUGCAAGUUGUAAGAGAAUUGGGCUAUAUCGAGCAACUUCAC